RNAcentral lists this ribosomal RNA (302 nucleotides) under uncultured bacterium. Its description in RNAcentral is "partial 16S ribosomal RNA". It matches the Rfam family "Bacterial small subunit ribosomal RNA", at positions 508 to 807 of the family's 1533-position model. The record is from RNAcentral.
GCAGUAGCCGCGGUAAAACGGAGGGUGCAAGCGUUAAUCGGAAUUACUGGGCGUAAAGCGCACGCAGGCGGUCUGUCAAGUCGGAUGUGAAAUCCCCGGGCUCAACCUGGGAACUGCAUUCGAAACUGGCAGGCUAGAGUCUUGUAGAGGGGGGUAGAAUUCCAGGUGUAGCGGUGAAAUGCGUAGAGAUCUGGAGGAAUACCGGUGGCGAAGGCGGCCCCCUGGACAAAGACUGACGCUCAGGUGCGAAAGCGUGGGGAGCAAACAGGAUUAGAUACCCCGGUAGUCCCUGUCUCUUAUAC